AACGAACGCUGGCGGCAUGCCUAACACAUGCAAGUCGAACGAGAUCUUCGGAUCUAGUGGCGCACGGGUGCGUAACGCGUGGGAAUCUGCCCUUGGGUUCGGAAUAACAGUUAGAAAUGACUGCUAAUACCGGAUGAUGACGUAAGUCCAAAGAUUUAUCGCCCAAGGAUGAGCCCGCGUAGGAUUAGCUAGUUGGUGGGGUAAAGGCCCACCAAGGCGACGAUCCUUAGCUGGUCUGAGAGGAUGAUCAGNCACACUGGGACUGAGACACGGCCCAGACUCCUACGGGAGGCAGCAGUGGGGAAUAUUGGACAAUGGGCGAAAGCCUGAUCCAGCAAUGCCGCGUGAGUGAUGAAGGCCUUAGGGUUGUAAAGCUCUUUUACCCGGGAUGAUAAUGACAGUACCGGGAGAAUAAGCUCCGGCUAACUCCGUGCCAGCAGCCGCGGUAAUACGGAGGGAGCUAGCGUUGUUCGGAAUUACUGGGCGUAAAGCGCACGUAGGCGGCUUUGUAAGUUAGAGGUGAAAGCCUGGAGCUCAACUCCAGAAUUGCCUUUAAGACUGCAUCGCUCGAAUCCAGGAGAGGUGAGUGGAAUUCCGAGUGUAGAGGUG
RNAcentral lists this ribosomal RNA (609 nucleotides) under uncultured Alphaproteobacteria bacterium. RNAcentral's name for it is "bacterial SSU rRNA". It matches the Rfam family "Bacterial small subunit ribosomal RNA", at positions 28 to 683 of the family's 1533-position model. Lineage: Bacteria; Pseudomonadati; Pseudomonadota; Alphaproteobacteria. The record is from RNAcentral.